CCUACGGGAGGCAGCAGUGGGGAAUAUUGCACAAUGGGCGCAAGCCUGAUGCAGCCAUGCCGCGUGUGUGAAGAAGGCCUUCGGGUUGUAAAGCACUUUCAGCGGGGAGGAAGGCGGUGAGGUUAAUAACCUCAUCGAUUGACGUUACCCGCAGAAGAAGCACCGGCUAACUCCGUGCCAGCAGCCGCGGUAAUACGGAGGGUGCAAGCGUUAAUCGGAAUUACUGGGCGUAAAGCGCACGCAGGCGGUCUGUCAAGUCGGAUGUGGAAUCCCCGGGCUCAACCUGGGAACUGCAUUCGAAACUGGCAGGCUAGAGUCUUGUAGAGGGGGGUAGAAUUCCAGGUGUAGCGGUGAAAUGCGUAGAGAUCUGGAGGAACACCGGUGGCGAAGGCGGCCCCCUGGACAAAGACUGACGCUCAGGUGCGAAAGCGUGGGGAGCAAACAGGAUUAGAUACCCGUGUAGUC
Molecule: ribosomal RNA, 465 nt
Filed under: uncultured Klebsiella sp.
Lineage: Bacteria; Pseudomonadati; Pseudomonadota; Gammaproteobacteria; Enterobacterales; Enterobacteriaceae
Description: bacterial SSU rRNA
Rfam family: Bacterial small subunit ribosomal RNA
Source: RNAcentral